RNAcentral lists this ribosomal RNA (186 nucleotides) under Xanthoria parietina. RNAcentral's name for it is "partial 18S ribosomal RNA". Lineage: Eukaryota; Fungi; Ascomycota; Lecanoromycetes; Teloschistales; Teloschistaceae. The record is from RNAcentral.
CUUCCGUAGGUGAACCUGCGGAAGGAUCAUUGAAUCUAUCGUGCCCACACCGCGAAAAUACUUAUGCCCUUCUGGGGUCAGCAAGCUUUACUGUUUGCUCUUCAGUUGNGCAGGUCAGGGGCUGGCUCCUUUUGGUGUCANUUNACUUGACUGNCUUCCGUAGGUGAACCUGCGGAAGGAUCAUUA